Non-coding RNA from Abortiporus biennis, 101 nucleotides. Lineage: Eukaryota; Fungi; Basidiomycota; Agaricomycetes; Polyporales; Podoscyphaceae. The record is from the annotation of a GenBank genome assembly.
GGCCCAAUGGUCUAGUAGUAUGAUACCUGCUUCGGGUUUAUUCCCGUCCGGAUAUCCGGACAGCUUGCAGGUGGUCCCGGGUUCAAUUCCCGGUUGGGCCC